RNAcentral lists this ribosomal RNA (555 nucleotides) under Pristimantis altamazonicus (Amazon robber frog). RNAcentral describes it as "partial 16S ribosomal RNA". It matches the Rfam family "Bacterial large subunit ribosomal RNA", at positions 1845 to 2605 of the family's 2925-position model. The record is from RNAcentral. Lineage: Eukaryota; Metazoa; Chordata; Amphibia; Anura; Strabomantidae.
AUAAGAGGUCCAGCCUGCCCAGUGAUCUAUUCAACGGCCGCGGUAUUCUAACCGUGCGAAGGUAGCGUAAUCACUUGUCUUCUAAAUAAAGACUAGUAUGAAAGGCAUCACGAAGACUAAGCUGUCUCCUCUCUCCAAUCAGUGAACCUAAUCUCCCCGUGAAGAAGCGGGGAUCCAAUUAUAAGACGAGAAGACCCUAUGGAGCUUUAAACAUCGUAACAUCUGCCACCACUUCUACCCACUCCGGUGUACCCUCUAAACGGCACCCUGAUUACAUGUUUUUGGUUGGGGUGAUCGCGGAGAAAAACUCAUCCUCCACAAUGAAAGGGACCUCCCCCCUAAACAAUAAGUUACAACUUUAUGUAUCAAGAAAUUGACAUCCAUUGACCCAAUAAUUGAUUAACGAACCAAGUUACCCUAGGGAUAACAGCACAAUCCACUUUGAGAGCCCGUAUCGACAAGUGGGCUUAUGACCUCGAUGUUGGAUCGGGAUAUCCCAGUGGUGCAACCGCUACUAAAGGUUCGUUUGUUCAACGAUUAAAACCCCACGUGAUC